Long non-coding RNA from Athalia rosae (coleseed sawfly), 1415 nucleotides. RefSeq lists it as uncharacterized. The record is from RefSeq and is a predicted model, not a curated record. The transcript has 6 exons. NCBI's taxonomy places the organism in Eukaryota, Metazoa, Arthropoda, Insecta, Hymenoptera, Athaliidae.
CACAAUGGUUUUUGUCACAUUCUAGAAAUCACUUUCUCUAUCGUGAGUCAUGCGCGACCACCCUAGUUGGCCCGGAACAAAUAUUUCUUCAUUUCAAACCGACGAGUUUAUCUCGUCUGUAAGACAGCCAAGUACCAGUUGGCUGUCACUCCGUCACGUUCAGUUGGAUAAACGCUCGACAAAUUGGAUCGCGGAAUUCUAUUGUGCGUACGCGCACUUAUAAACGAAGUUGGUUUAAUUAAAUAAUUUCGAAGUAAAAAGAAAGGCGACUACGCCGUUAGCUCGGCAAUGCUGGCGUCUGCACAUCGUUGAAAUUACGCUGUGUAUUUCUACUUGUCAGCCGGUACCUCGAAGGAAAAUUUACCUGAAGCCUCAUUUCCUAUAGAAAUUUUCGCCCCGCUAGGGGCAAAGCAUUCUAGCUAUUGAUAACAUAAUUAUACCUUCUGGAGGAGAUCGCGAGUGUCCGAAACUCCCGACUUCAACGGGUACUUCUCUGUCCUUGAGAAUCCCACCUUCAUCGACGAUCGCCCGCGUCAUGACCGCGUCGGUUUUAUCGACGUCUCGGCUCUCCCGCAUUCCCUCUUCCUCCGAAUGCUUCUGCUGCACAAGCGAAAAAGAAAAAAAUGCACGCUUGAGAGAAUCACCCCAAAAAUAAGCGAAGACUUUGAAAAAAGGAGACUGAAAAAUCCCGAGUAAUCUCAAAACAGCCAAUUGCGAACGUGCAAUUCGGUAUUCGUUCAUUGGAGCGCCUCGUACGUAGAUCCUCCUUUUCCAAGGCAACGGCAGUAUGACCGCGGCAGCCGAAGCGACGUGGUCAUCGGGAGCGACAUCGAUGGUAGCGCGUACGUACACAUCCUUUGAGAAGAGAGAGAAGAAGCCAGCGAGGAGAGAGAGACAUAUAUUUGGGUGAGGAUUAGCAAUGGAAUAGUACGCAGUUACUACAGCGCCAUAAAUUUUGUCGAUAACGAGUCCGGUGUCCAGUUUUGAUCCAGCCGUGACUCGGGAAGUAGUGUUUCGGUUGAUCUACAUAUUUUGAAAAAGUGCUUGACAAUCGGUAGCUAGUGAAAAAACUAUAUCAGUGGAAAUUUCGUGAAUUCCGUAACUCGGAGAUUUUUCCAUAAGCACUGAUUCAUACUUGACAGGCGUCGAAGGUGCCUGGUUCUUCCCAAUACGGUUCAACUCUGAAUUACUAUCCCUACGUUGUGCUGAAAAAUUCGUAUAAGGCUCUCAAUUCGUCGUCACAGUGCCUUGAUCAUCGCAGUACCUCUUCAACUUUCAACCCUGAAGGGCAGGACUUCCAUGCCAUCGCACAAUUCGUUUACAGGUACUCGGAGAUGCUGCCGCCGCAGUUAUGACCCCCUGGACUUCCCCUGUUCAUCAGGGGGAGUCCAGGGACUCGUCCCCUGGGACUGCGC